This 234-nucleotide non-coding RNA is filed under the name Ligilactobacillus acidipiscis. RNAcentral's name for it is "Lactobacillus acidipiscis T-box sequence". It matches the Rfam family "T-box leader". From Rfam's summary of the family: Uncharged tRNA acts as the effector for transcription antitermination of genes in the T-box leader family. T-boxes are found upstream of many aminoacyl-tRNA synthetase genes and some amino acid biosynthetic genes usually in Gram-positive bacteria. Lineage: Bacteria; Bacillati; Bacillota; Bacilli; Lactobacillales; Lactobacillaceae. The record is from RNAcentral.
UAAAAGACGUUGAAGAGAAGAGUAGCUCGAGCAGCCAAUUUAAAGAGAACGCGAGUGGGUGAAAGCGCGUAUUGGUCAGUCGAGUGAAGAUGAGCUCAGAGUCUGUUGGCUGUGCAAGCAGCGACACGGAACGGGACCGUUACUACCUGCGACUUUUGUUAGAACAGAAGUUAGUAAGAUAGUCAGUGUGAAUUGGCUAUAAAAAAGGCGGUACCGCGCACAAGCGUCCUUUCA